UUUUUUUUAAACGUAGCACCCAAAAAAAUGACACGUGGAAAAAACAGAUAUUAAUUGUUAGAAAGGGGGCACAGAAACAGCCCCCGCGCCGCUCCCUCCCCGGGGCGACACGGGCGGCUCCCGCCUCCGCCUCCGCACCUCUCCCCUCCCGCCUCCUUCUCCCCCUCGCCGUUGCCGGUUGCCUCCGGCAGGCAAAGCCUGCGCGGAGCCGGCGGUGGCUGAGCAUCCUCUUGCUGCCGCUCGCUCGUGGGAUGGGGAUACGGCGUGUGGUCGGCGGCUGACCAGCGCUUGGCUCCGGGGCGGCGUCUCGGCUCGCGGUGGAGGAGGUCUCCGGCGUGCUGUGCCGGGAUCUGGUCGCGGCGGCGGGCGCGCCACGGGCGAGCGGUCACGGUCGUGGCGCCCGUACGGGCCCGAUCUGGACCUCACGAGAUGUGGCCGGCGCGGUCGGUGGUGCUGGGAUGGACGGAGGCUCGGCCCCCUGCUGCGCGUCCUGGUGGAGCCCUUGCUGCGUUCCUCCUGCUUGGUGCCGUGGUGGUGCCUGCUCGAGUUUCGGUUGACGGGCUGCGGAUCUGGCAGCUCAUCCGGCGAGUUGGGGUGGGGUGGCGGCCCUCCCUCCCUGCUAGGGAUCCUCUCUGGAUGUGCAGCGUGCGGUGGCCGCACGGUGGAGGUCUCCGGUUGUCGGGGCGGCAGGCGGACGACGCAGUUGGCGCGGAUCUGUUCGGAGGUUGCGAAGUGUGAAGGUGGUCAGAUCCAGCCGGAUUUGCCCUCGGUGGCUCGUUGGAGGGCUUGCUGAUGCAUGAUGUUUGGGGCUCGUGAGGUUGACCCGGGCGAAAGCUUGUCUCCGAUGUGUCCGGAGCCGGCGAUGGCGACGCUUUCAAGCGUCGUUUCCUUCUUGUUGGCAUCGUCGAGGUACUCUUAGUUUCAAUCUUCGCAGCUUUGGGGGAAACCCUAGAUCCAUGGGAUCGGACGAUGAUGGUGCUCUAGCAUCGUAUACCCUCUCGAGGGCUUCGUCUUUGGAGCUAGCAUCAUCAAGCGGGACCGAUGGAAGUUGGUGGUGUUUUGCGUCGAGGCUUCUGUGGCAAGGAUGAUCGGCGUGUGCAAUGUCGGAGACGCGGCAAUGGUUGCGGUAGUCGGCUCUUCUCCGGCGUGUUUGUGGGGUUACCUCGGGUUGUUUUGUUGCCGUGAAGUCGGAGCUGCAGCGGCGGGGCCCCUGUGGCAACGAUGACAGGCAGCAGGUGGUCUGUUCGGUGGUCUUCCAUGGCGCCAGCCUUGCAUAGUUCUCCUUUGAAGCUAUCUUUCAGAGUCGAAGCUGUGAUGUCCUUGUGCGGGUGGCUGAGUUUGGCGCGGGGUUUCUUGUGUUCCACACAGCCUCUACAGUGUGGGUUGGGCGACAUUUGUCUUCGGAGAAGUCGGAGUCGCUUUCUCGGAGAUUAGGGAGGGCGAUGACGCCUGUUGGGGAGAAGUGAUGACGAUGACACCGAUGGGUGAUGUUGACGAAACCCUCUAUAUGAGGUGUAUGUGGUAUUAUGUGUGUGUCGCUCAGCGGUUUGUUACGGUUUUCGUCCGGUUUUCCGUUUAUUAACCGGACAACUCUCUUCUGCUUUAUUAAUGAGAUGAGGCAAAGCUUUUGCCUCCAUUUCAAAAAAAUUGUUAGAAAGGGAAAAAUUGUAACAACUCUGAAUGCAAAACAAUUUGAUGUUCAUUACAGGGGAUAAAUGUGUGGCGACCGGUUUUUCCGGGUAUUAAAUCCCAGAAAAUGGCCCUUGUGCUCAUCAGCCCCAGGAUAACUGUUAGCUGAUGAGGCACCAACUUGAUACAGAAAUUCCAAGCAAAUACAAAAUAUGUAGCACAAGACCAUUCUGGUCUGUGGGUACAACAAAUGGUUUCUAGUGGUUGAUGGCGGAAGCGGGCCGUAAAUCAUCAGAGUCUAUGGGACUCCAUUUCCCACGGGAACAGCUGACCAGGUUAACUCCUAUCUUCGCGAGGCUGCUAUCACCGUUGCUUAGGUUCCGAGGCUGUCAUCGCGUCGCUCCUCUUCGCGCAAGAAAUCUGGCCAAGACAAUAGCCAGGGACAAACCAGUGAGUACUUUGAAUGUACUCGCAAACAUAAUGAACACGGGUAUAAUAUUGCAAUGAUGUGCUGAUAAUAUGAUAUGCUCAUGACGUCAGUCACAAAAGGUAAAUAAAUCUCUGAUGCACGUAAGUAGUUUAUUUAUGGGAAUGCAAUAUCAUGAUAAUAAUAAAAGGCACCGAUCGGGCGUCUGAAGCAACGCCCCACAUAAAGGGCCCUUUAAAAGAAAUGCCACAGUCGGGCGUCUGAGCGACACUACAUAAAGGGCUUUAAAAGAAAUGCCACAGUCGGGCGUCUGAGCGAUACCACAUAAAGGGCUUUAAAAGAAAUUCCACAGUCGGGCGUCUGAGCGACACCACAUAAAGGGCUUUAAAAGAAAUGCCACAGUCGGGCGUCUGAGCGACACCACAUAAAGGGCUUUAAAAGAAAUGCNNNNNNNNNNNNNNNNNNNNNNNNNNNNNNNNNNNNNNNNNNNNNNNNNNNNNNNNNNNNNNNNNNNNNNNNNNNNNNNNNNNNNNNNNNNNNNNNNNNNNNNNNNNNNNNNNNNNNNNNNNNNNNNNNNNNNNNNNNNNNNNNNNNNNNNNNNNNNNNNNNNNNNNNNNNNNNNNNNNNNNNNNNNNNNNNNNNNNNNNNNNNNNNNNNNNNNNNNNNNNNNNNNNNNNNNNNNNNNNCGACACCACAAAAAGGGCUUUAAAAGAAAUGCCACAGUCGGGCAUCUGAGCGACACCACAUAAAGGGCUUUAAAAGAAAUGCCACAGUCGGGCGUCUGAGCGACACCACAUAAAGGGCUUUAAAAGAAAUGCCACAGUCAGGCGUCUGAGCGACACCACAUAAAGGGCUUUAAAAGAAAUGCCACAGUCGGGCGUCUGAGCGACACCACAUAAAGGACUUUAAAAUAAACAAUCANNNNNNNNNNNNNNNNNNNNNNNNNNNNNNNNNNNNNNNNNNNNNNNNNNNNNNNNNNNNNNNNNNNNNNNNNNNNNNNNNNNNNNNNNNNNNNNNNNNNNNNNNNNNNNNNNNNNNNNNNNNNGUCGGGCGUCUGAGCGACACCACAUAAAGGGCUUUAAAAGAAAUGCCACAGUCGGGCGUCUGAGCGACACCACAUAAAGGGCUUUAAAAAAAUGCCACAGUCGGGCGUCUGAGCGACACCGCAUAAAGGGCUUUAAAAGAAACAAUCAUAGUGAAUAUCCAGGAGGUAGAACCGUCCCAGAGAUAUUCGAUAAUACCAAAAUUUCACGGCUUAGUCCACAACAAAAAUAAUACUCGUCAUUUUCACAUGUCACAAGUUGUAGUAUCAGUUCUGAUUUAAUAGUUUCACCUCCGAAGACCGACACUAAGACCGACACUCGACCCAUCCCAGACUGUAAUCCUUAACCAUGGACACGGCUAUUCGAAUAGGUUUAAUCUCUGCAGAGGGUGUACUCUUUACCCACGAGUAACGGAUUUCUUUAGUCCAUCGGGACUAAUUCCGUCUACGGUCUUUUUGUUGAAAACACACCUAACUUGCACACACCAGCUUAACUCACAUGUGUCUGGAAUCACCCAAGACACCUGUCAAGCAAACUCUAAGUGGGGAGGCUACAACCUCGCGUAGCAUGGGAUCAAAUUUAUAUUGCGCGCUCUAAGGGGUGGCCUCCCCUCUCGGUCUCAACCGGAGACACCCAUGCCCCCGGACCAGGUGGCCUGCUUACCAGCUACAACCGGUAUCUUCCACCCUGGCCUCUCUGUACGGUGUGUGCUAGGAAGAGGUUGACAACUUACUGAACCGUACUCUACUUGUUGUAGAGACGAGUGGUAGUACGAAACAAGUAUGAGGGUUACUGGAACAAGACUCGAUCUAGGGUCGACUCAGGAGGUUUAGGUAUUCCCUGCAUGAUUAGCAUAACGAAUAUAUUUCAACCAACAGAGUCACCGCUCAUAUUACCUUACCAUGCCAUACCAGACAUAACUGUCCCGAUGGAGACCGGCGACAAACUCAUGCCUACCCAAGGCAGAGUUUUCCCGGGUUCCUGCCGGUAUGCAUGCAAGGCACAUGAGGAUGAUUUUCAUCACAAGAGUGAUCCUUUCCAACAGCUUGGAAAUCACAAAUAUGCAUCCAUGCACAUGAUCAUCUCACAUGAAAUAACAAUACUCCAAAGUGAGGUGGUAUGAUAAACGUGUCAACGAACACCCAAAAAAAUAUCAUGCCGGGGUUCAGAAUGCUUGCUUUCAGGUCAUGGGAAGGCAGGGUGCAUUUCAAACUCUUGAAAUACUUCUCCUCUCUUCAAAAAUCCUAUUUUUGAAAAUAUAAAUGAAUUAACAUACAAAAUAAAAACAGCACAAAAGUUGUUUGAAAAAUUUCCAAAUAAAUCUUAAAAUAAACUAGACAGAAUUUGAGAGAUGUAGGAAAAAGAAUCAAUUCAUUUGGAGUUAUAUUUAAAAAGUUAUAGCCAGUCAAAGUUGUGGUCAAAUCUGUUUUUAAAAAGAAAAUAAAACAGAAAGAGAAAAACGAUUCGGACUGACCACGUCGAAGGCGUAUUCUAAAAAAUACGUUUCCAAUUAUCCUGCGUGGACCGUGCGUGGUCACUGACAGUGGGCCCGCCUGGCCCACUGGUCAGGUUUGACCAGUCCACGCGCGUGUCGCCUCCUCCGGCCGAAACAGAGGCGGAGCUCCGGUGAGGCUCGCCGGUGAAUGACGGCACCGUUCGGAAAACGGAGGCCAUCCACGUGCUCAGGGGAUCAAGACGGUUACUCCGGUGGUUGAUAUGAUCUUUGGGGUGGACGGAGUUGCCAACGGUGAGCUUCGCGGCGGACGGUGGUCGUCGGGAAAAGUGAUUUUUCCCCCGCAGUGGGUCUCGAUCAAAAUUGAGUAGGGGGAUGGAUUUACGAGGGGGAGAGGGAGUUCCUAGUGAAGAGAGUGGAGAGGGGGAGGCUCUGGUGGUGCCGGAAUGAUCGGGGCAGUGGCGGCGGCUGCAGUUGCCGGAGACGGGGAAGAAGACCUCCCCGGUUUGAUUGGCUGCCACGGGAGAGCUAGUGGAGCAUGCUGAGGCUGCUUAGCCAAUGGAACGUGCUCGGGGGCCUCCUUAUAUAGCGCAACGAGGUCGGUUUGCGGCGGCCGGGGAUAAGUUCGUCGGCGAACCACCUCCUUGUCGCGUUAGGGCGUCGUGGCGACGACGAUAGCUAGCCGACGGGCGAGGGGAUAAACUUGCGCUGCUCACAGGGGCAGGUGGCGAGCCGGGGUGGCUUGGGCGGCGCUGGCCUGAGUCAGGGCUGUCGGGCGGCCGUGGCGGCUAGUUCUCGGCUUGCCGGGGACGCGGCGAGGCUCUGCUUGGCGUGUUGCGGUGAGUGGGGAGCAUGCUGCGCGCAAGGGACACGGCGUGCCGGCUGCGGUCGGUCACGGGCUGGGGUGAGUGCGGGGCGUGACGCGGCGGCUCGGGCGCCGCUCGUGCAAUACGCACACUCUGGGCACGUCCAGUGCACGCACGGAAGGUGCUCGACACAAUGCUGUGGCACGCUACAGGUCACAGGUGAGGUUGGCAAGCAACAGGACUAGGUUGGAGAUAGAGGGAAACUCCAGGGACAAGGUGAUUUGGUUAGGUGGCCAAGUUCAUAAUGUAGACUUGAAAUCAUGCCAAAUCUGGCUAUGCACUCAGAGUGUUUGACGAAAUGCCACAAGUACCUAGGCUUUUCUUGGAGUGGCCAAAUUCUCCAGAUCAGUGUCUCCUUGGAUGCAUGAGAGGGUGGUGAGGUUAGUUGGUGGAAAGCACAAACUUGCUAGUGCAAGCUUUGCAGAACUUCAAAUCUGGACAGGAUGUGAAUGGCAUUAUUUCAUGAACCAAAAAUAUGCCAAUGGUUGCAUGCUCCUGGACUUAGGGAUUUAACAUGGAGGACUACAAGUAGGAGAAAUAAUCAAGGGCCAAAGAGCAAGCAAUAAUAUGGUUGCUGUACAAACCAUCAUGUUGGACCAGAAUGGAGAUGAGGUUGAUUCACUCAAAAUUUUCAAAGAACAUCCAUGGAUUUAUGCAUAUAAUGGAAUCAUAUGCUGCUACUGACAUCCCAUAAUUUUGGUGGAAGCUAGAAACAAAUAUUUAAAAGGGUUGCAGUGCAAAAAUGCCUACUAGACCAGAGAAGAAAAACAUGUGUAGCACUCAAAAUAUGCAAUGAAUGAACUAUAUUAUUGCAUAAAAGUGAUUUAGAGGCAUCACAUGACAUCUCCAAAUUUUGGUGGAAUUUUUAGUUAAGUUUACCAAAUGGUUGUAGUACAAAAAGAGCUCCAAACUAAAAACAAGUCAUUUUAAUGAAUAUAGCUCAGGGUGGAAUAAUUUAAUAAAUAAACCUACUGAUUAGGAAAUUGUUUUAAUGAGAUGGCAUAGAAGUUCAAUAUGUUUGGAAGGAUCCACUUGGGAAAAAUAAAUCCUUAAUAAUAAAAGAAAGGUUUUGAAAUCAACAGAAAUAUUCUUGCAGGCAAAAAUUUUAACUCUUGGCAAAAUUUUAAUAACCAAAAAUUUGGUUAAAUUUUUGGGGUGUUACAAAAUGGAAAAAUGUACUGCACACCAUUUCAGAAACAUUUAUCAGGGUAUAAAAAAUAAAUUGCAUAUCACAGGAGUCGACGCCAAGCACCUUCUACGUCGGCGAGCUAGCCGCCAUAGCUGCGUUGAAACUGUUGCUAUAGUGUGGACACGGGCGUGCAAAGGGCAGCCUAGGUGGCUUUGAAAAUAGCUGCAUCAUGGGCAAGAUGUAUGUACUGCAUCACGGGGCUGCGGGCGGCAGCAAAAAGAUGAGAAGACCGGGCCAAAGGGAGGCGGCGUCGUGCAUUGGCUGGUACGAGGGGGCCCGUACGAGCAGUUUGACCCGGGAAGGGCCAGCUGAAAAGAAGAACAGGAGUAGGGACUAGGGGCAGCAGAAAAGAACAAAGAUUAUAAUGGGUAAAGUCAAACAAAAAAAACUGCACCGGCCAACCAACGAUUCUCGUGAGUCCUCGAAUCCCGGGUUCAGAGCUUUCCUGGUCUUUCUUGUCGGGAUCCACUUGUACGUAUUGAUCAUAGGCGGGGAGGCUGGCCCGUGCUCGGAUUCACGAGUAGGCUUGGAAAAAUAUGCCCGGCGACUACCUUACACACGAGGGCGGUCGUUUGCUCUCCUGCUAAAAGCCCAGAUAGCAGCUGAAGCUCGACUGAAGCAGGGCCGAGGCCGAUGGUUCCUGCAAACACGCUUUCAAUUGGAACAGCGCCGACGUGCUGGCUUGCCCUGCUUGCACUAUGAUCUCCAGCCGGAUCCAUCACCGUUGAUACAAAUGAAUCCUGGACUGCGUUGUUGGGUUCAGAGAAGGUGGAGGCGCUGGCUAAGGGGAGAAAUCUUAUGACUGAAAAAUCUUAGAAGCAAUAACAAUAAAGCUGGAACAUGGCUUCAUCUAUUGCUAUCGGAUGGACGGUGCGGGUUCAGAGGGCGGGGCAGUUGGACGGUGCUGCAUACGUUACUACACAAUUACUCACGCACGUUGUUUCGGUGGCCGGAUUAAACACAAAACCCCUGCUGCUACAUAAAGAGCCACCCAAAACGGUGCGGAACCUUGCAUAAUGAGUUGAACAAUGCCCAAAAUGUCAGUUUUGAACUUCACCACGGGGCAACGCAGCAAGGAACUCUUGCUAAAAAUGAGUUAAAGUGGACCCUGCAGCUGUUUACCGAAAAGGUUUACUGUCGCACUCUGCAGCACAAGAAAGGAGCCGCUGCUAUCGCCCUAAAAUACACUGACAUGUCAGGCGCUAGGUUUCCAAACAGGGUGUGCACUAGCAUAGAGGUAGGUUUUAGAACUUUCCGCUUCGGUCAUGGCGAAAAUCAACAAAUCAGGAAUUCAGAACCUUAUCUUCAGAAGGUGCGAAUCUUGAGGAGAGCCGACGGUUCCGAUAGCACCCACUCUAGUGGCUGUUGAUAGCAAAUCCAUGUUCUAUAUAAAUAUAAAUAUAAAUAUAUAAAUAUAUAUAUAUAUUCAACUGAAGACAAACGACGGAAAACUGAGGAAUUUCAAAAACAAAUUGAAGAUUUUCAACUUUGAGUGGUGGCGUAGCCCACCGUAUAAGAAAGCUGAUUCCAGACACCGCGUACAAUUGUCGUAGGGCUCUGAGAAUCAAUUUCUUCAUUAAUUUCUUCACACUUAGAGGGUUAGUCUUCAUUGAUUGAAGAAAAACGUUACUUCGUGUGUUGCGCAUCUAAGUCAUUAAGUCAGCAUAAGUGUUAGGAUGAGUGUCCGUUUCAGAGAACAUUCGAAGAUUCUAGGAUAUUUAGCUCACACCGCAACUUGCUAAAUCUCUUCUCAUCCAAGGGCUUAGUGAAAAUAUCGGCCAGCUGAUCUUCAGUUCUUGCAUGGCAGAUGGAGAUAUCGCCCUUCAACACAUGAUCACGAAGAAAAUGAUGACGAAUCUGGAUGUGCUUUGUCUUUGAGUGCUGAACUGGGUUGCGAGAAAUCUUGAUUGCACUCUCAUUGUCGCAGUAGAGAGGCACAUUCUUCACGUUGAUGCCAUAGUCCUUAAGAGUUUGCUUCAUCCAUAGUAAUUGAGCACAACAUGAUCCAGCAGCAAUGUACUCAGCUUCUGCAGUGGAGAGAGAUACGCAGUUCUGUUUCUUCGAGGACCAAUAGACCAAAGAUUGUCCGAGGAAAUGGCAAGUGCCUGACGUUGACUUGCGGUCCACGCGAUCGCCAGCAUAGUCAGAGUCUGAGUAUCCAACGAGAUCAAAUGAAGAGCCCUUGGGAUACCAUAAUCCAAGUGUUGGUGUGUGAGCUAGAUAUCGAAGAAUAUGCUUCACAGCCUUAUGGUGUGAUUCCUUUGGUGUAGCUUGAAAUCGGGCACACAUGCAAACACUAAGCAUAAUAUCUGGCCUAGAUGCACAUAGGUACAAUAAAGAGCCAAUCAUGGAGCGGUAUACCUUUUGAUCGAAGUCUUGACCAUUUUCAUCAGUGCAUAGAUGGUCAUUUGUGGGCAUUGGAAUUUUGACCCCUUUGCAAUCUUGCAUGCCGAAUUUUCUCAAUACUUCUUUGAGGUAUUUCUCCUGCGAUAUGAAUAUACCAUUGCGCUAUUGACGAAUUUGAAGACCUAAAAAGAAUUUCAAUUCUCCCAUCAUAGACAUUUGAUAUUCUUCACUCAUCAUAUAGGCAAAUUCAUCACUAUAACGUUGGUCAGUACAGCCAAAGAUAAUAUCAUCAACAUAUAUUUGGCACACAAACAAUUCACCAUCAUAAGAUUUAGUGAAAAGAGUUGGGUCGAGUGAACCGGGUUUGAAGCCUUUCUUCAUGAAGAAUUCCUUCAAAGUGUCAUACCAUGCCCGAGGGGCUUGCUUGAGGCCAUACAGGGCCUUGUUGAGUCUGAAGACUUUGUCGGGAUUCUUUGGAUCUUCAAAAUCUGGGGGUUGAGCAACAUAUACUUCUUCCUCAAGCUUACCAUUGAGGAAUGCACUUUUCACAUCCAUUUGUUGUAAGAUAGUAUCAUGAUGGUUAGCGUAAGCAAGUAAUAUGCGAAUAGCCUCAAGUCUAGCAAUAGGUGCAAAAGUUUCAUCGAAAUCAAUUCCUUCAACCUGUGUGUAGCCUUGAGCUACAAGCCGUGCCUUAUUCCUCACCACAAGGCCAUUUUCAUCUUGCUUGUUGCGGUAGAUCCACUUUGUGCCAAUGAUGUUGUGCUUGCGAGGAUCUAGAUGUUUGACCAGUUCCCAGACAUUGUUGAGCUCGAACUGAUAUAAUUCUUCUUCCAUAGCCUGAAUCCACUCAGACUCCAGAAAUGCUUCAUCUACCUUAGUGGGCUCUGAGAUAGAGACAAAAGCAAAGUGCCCACAAAAGUUAGAUAAAUGUGAAGAUUUUGAGCGAGUGAGAGGACCUGGUGCUUCAAUGUCAUCAAUGCUUUUCUCAAUUUGUACUUCGUUAGCAAUGCAAGGAUGAGUGGGUUGUCUUUGAGGAAUUUGAUUAGCAUUUCCUUCAAGAGCAUUUUCUUCAGCACCAUUUUCUUCAGGUGCGCCAGCUCGGUAAUCAUCAUGAUCAGGAAUGAAUUCUUCAGUAGAUUCUUCGGUAGGAAUGACAUCCUCAGUAGCCUUGAACUUGAUAGAAUCUUCAGGUGCAGUUCAUCUAUCACAGAAGGUAGGUGCUCUCUUUGCGAGCCAUUAGUUUCAUCGAACCGCACAUCUACAGUUUCAACAACUUUGUGAAGAACGAUGUUGAAGACUCUGUAGGUGUGCGAGUCCUUUCCAUAAUCAAGCAUAAAACCUUCAUGUGGUUUCAGUGAGAAUUUUGAAGUGUGAUGAGGAUCUAUAAUCCAACAUUUAGCACCGAAGACUUUGAAAUAACUCACAUUUGGCUUUUUGUUAGUGAGGAGUUCAUAAGCAGUUUUCUUGAAGAAUUUGUGAAGAUAUACCCUGUUGAUGACAUGGCACGCAGUAUCAAUUGCCUCAAUCCAGAAGCGACGAGGCGUCUUGUAUUCAUCAAGCAUAGUGCGAGCCAUUUCAGCAAGGGUUCUGUUCUUGCGCUCCACGACGCCAUUCUGCUGAGGAGUAUAAGGAGCAGAUAAUUCAUGAGUAAUACCAAGUUCAUCAAGAUAGCCAUCUAGACCAGAAUUCUUGAACUCGGUCCCAUUGUCAGUUCUGAUGUGCUUGAUCUUCACACCAAAGUUGGUUGAAGCCCUCGAGGAAAAUCAUUUGAAGACUUCCUGCACUUCAUGUUUGUAAGUGACAAUGUGCACCCAUGUGUAACGAGAAUAACCAUCAACAAUAACAAAUCCAUAUUGAGAUGCAUCAUUCAGAAUUGCAGAAUAGUGGUUAGGACCAAAGAGAUCCAUGUGAAGCAAUUCAAAUGGUCGAGUGGUAGUCAUGACAAUCUUCGCUGGAUGCUUGGCCUUUGUCAUCUUUCCAGCUUCACAAGCUCCGCAUAAGUGAUCCUUGAGGAAUUUGACAUUCUCAAUGCCAAUGACAUGCUUCUUCUUCACAAGCGUGUGCAGAUUCCUCAUGCCAACAUGACCAAGUCGUCGAUGCCAUAGCCAGCCUUCUGAAGCUUUUGCAAGUAAGCACACGGCUGGUUGUGGUCCUAUAGAGAAAUUAACAAUAUACAUGUCUCCUCUCCUAAAGCCUUCGAAGAUUUUGGAAUGGUCAGCUUCCAUGAUCACAACACAACGAUAUCUUCCAAAGACAAUAACCAUAUCAAGAUCAUAAAGCAUUGAGACAGACAUGAGGUUGUAUCCUAAGGACUCGACAAGCAUGACUUUGUCCAUGUGUCGAUCCUUUGAGAUCGCAACCUUACCUAGACCCAAUACCUGACUUUUGUCUUUGUCAGCGAAGAUGAUAUGCUUCAGAUGUGACGGUGAUAAUGGAGCAUCCAUCAAUAGAUUCUUGGCAUCCGUCAUGUGAUUUGUACAUCCACUAUCAAGGACCCACUCGUUUGCUUUGGACUGAUCAUCCUGCAGAUGAAUUAGUGCAACUUACGAACUCAUAUACUUCAUCAGGGAAGAAUAUGACAUCAAUAUCAUCAGUUCAAUUUCAUCAAGCAAUAGCACAGAUAAAUCAGUAUGAGGACGUGAGAAAUGAAAAUUCAUUUCUUCAUGCCUGUGUCCUUUCAGGCACUGUUCAGGUCUCCAGCAAAUUUUUCAGAUGUUUUGAGCACAUUUGGAGACCUGACCCUGCAUAAGAGAUUAGUUCUUUUUCUUCACCACCCACAUCUGAAGGGGUGGCAAAGAAUUCAUCACUCUGCGAGCACCAUAUGAGAAAGGUGGCAUAGAAGCUAGUCCGCUUCGUUUCACAUAAGAGGGGUUAGGGUAAGCAUAUGAAUAAGCAGAGAAAUUCUUGGAUGACUUAUGAACAUAAUGAUUUGAAGAAUAACGUUCAUAUUCAUAGCCCUUAGCUUUACCCUGCGAAACAGAAGGGUUAGCACGAUGAUGAUCAUAUGAGGACUUUGAUCCGUUUGAGGAAGUUGAUCCAUGUGAAGAAUUAGGUCCAUAUGAAGAAUUAGAUCUGGGGUUCCUGUUCUUCACAGGUGGUGUCAUGAGGACAUUCACCUGAAGACUUUCAAGAUAACUUUUGGGAACCCAUAUUUUCUUCAUAGGGGAACCGUUCCUGCAGUUAGUGCCAACAUAUCUAUCAAAUACUUCACCAUUCUGAUUUUUGAACAGUUUAUAGUUGGAGUCAAAUGACUCAUCAGAAGAAUGAGGAGAUUCACAUGUAAAGCCAGCUAAGUUGGAUGGAUCAACUGGAGGUCCCUUUGCAGCAACCCAUGAGGUUUUGGGGUACUUCUCGGGCUUCCAAUAUGUUCCAUCAGCAUUGAGUUUCCUCUCAAAGGCAAUACCCUCUUUCCUAGGGUUUCUGUUUAGGAUAUGCUUUUUGAGCACAUCACAAAGAAUCUGAUGCCCUUUGAGGCUUUUGUACAUGCCUGUUGUGUACAAUUCCUUCAGCCCUGCAUCAUUAGUAGUAACUAGCAAUGUCCUCAGAUGAGGAAUUAGUGAUAGCAGAGACAGGUGAAGAAUUUGUAAUAUUUGAAGCAUUUGAACAUUCAGGUGAAGAAUUAGCAGAUUCAUGUUCAAUGCACUUUAGACAUGGAGGAACAAAUUCUUCCUGAGUAGCGCUGAUUUGUUGAGCAAGUAAUGAAUCGCGCUGCUUCUGAAGAUCUUCAUACCUCACUCUUAGCUUCUCAAGAUCUUGCUUUCUUUGAAGAAAUUCAAGAGAAAGCUUCUCGUGAUCAGAUAAGAGAGUGUUAUGAUGACCUUGAAGGUCGUCAAACUUGGAAUGGAGUCCCUGAAGACUUUCAGCCAAAGCUUUUGACUGAUCCAUUUCUUCACCCAACAUAUCAUCGCUCUUAUUUAGCAUGUAUUGAACUUUUUCCAAAGCUCUUUGUUGUUUAGUGGCAAGGGAAGCAAGUUUAACAUAGCUAGGUCCAAAUUCAUCACCUGAUUCAUCAUCACUAGAUUCGAAAAGGUAGCAUUCAGUUACCUUGGCACCCCCUGCCAUGAGGCACGGUGAAGAGGAUGAUGAUUCGGGUGCGAAAGUCAUCUCUUUGAGAGAGUCCUUGUAAUCCUCAAACCAAGCAUCAUGUCGAGUACGAUGACCUUCAUAGACCUCAGAAAGCCGGUCCCAGAUUAGCUUCGCGUGAUUGAGGUGCAUAACGUUCCUGAACUGAUUUCAGGACAGACAGGAGCAGAUGACAUCCUUUGUCGUGAGGUUCAGUAGUGUGUACUUGUGAAUGUCAUCAGCCUCCGCCGUCUUGCAUAGAUCGGUAAGACCAAUCUCAGUGACGGUCCACAGUUUGCUGUCAAUAGCCAUGAGUCUCUUCUUCAUCAUGGCCUUCCACCGAGGAUACUCAUGACCGUCGAAGAUGGGGCAGGAAACGUUCCUCGAUCCUGCAGUCGGCAUAACUAGAACCCCAAGUGGUUAAACCAAAAUCACACAGAACAAGGGAGUACCUUGUUCUGAUACCAACUGAAAGUGCGUUAUAUCGACUAAAGGGGGGAUGAAUAGGCGAUUUUUAUGAAUUCUUCACUAAGGAAUUUGCUGGUGAGGAAAUUCCUAAAUGAAGAACUACUUGCAGCGGAAUAAGUACUCAGAAAGGAACAUAACAGAACACAAGCAUAGUCAUCAUGAUGAAAUGAAGACACGCAUAGAGUACAGAAAGCAUAAACACAAGAUAACACAAGGAAGAAGACGGACAAACUGAAGAAAUAGAACUGAGGAAAUUGAGAAAGUCUUCAAACAGGUAUGAACAGGCACACAACAACACACAUGAGGAAUUUAAAGAGUUGAGGAAAUAGAACCAGUAAGCUCGGUGAAGACAAUGAUUUGGUAGAUCAGUUCCAACUGCUGUCUCAGUUGUACAUCUGGUUGGAGCGGCCGAGUAUUUAAACUCGAGGACACACAGUCCUCACUGUAUUCUCCUUGAGCUAAGGUCACACAGACCUCGCCCAAUCACUCAUGCUAAGUCUCCAGGUGACUUCCGAACCUUCACAAACUCGGUCACUCGGCGAUCCACAAUUCCUCUUGGAUGCUCUAGACCUUGACGCCUAACCGUCUGGAAGAAGCACGGUCUUCAAAGGAAACAAGCGUCAGAUCUAUGCAGGAUCAAUCUCUUCAGUGAUGCUCAAUCACUUGGGUUUUGUAGGUUUAGGUUUGGGAUUUCCUCACUUGAUAAUUUUCACUCAAAGUCUUCGGAGAAUGGGUUGCUCUCAAAUGACAAGUGUCAGUUUCUCUCGGAGCAGCCAACCAACUAGUGGUUGUAGGGGGCGACUAUUUAUAGCCGGGGAGCAGCCCGACAUGAUAAGACAUAAAUGCCCUUGUCUGAUAUGACCGUUAGGUGGGUAGAUAUUUUGGGACAGCUGAUGCAUAGCACAGCAACAGUCGGAAUAUUUGACUCUCAAAUACCUCAGGGCUAUCAUGUUCCUCACUUGGUAGGCAAUCCGCACUGGCGAAUUCCUAACUAUUCAAUCAGAACAAAUUCCUCAUAGACCAGAAGAACUUCGUCUCUGUCACUGAAGAAUAUGGCUGAACUGUGCGAGAUUUCCAAUGGCUUCACUCGAAAGGAUUGGUAGGUGUAGGAUUUUGAGUUGAGCAUCACAUGGAAAUUUUUCCUUAGUAUUUCCUCGACCCCCUUUAACAGUACGGUGUUUCCUAUGACUCAAGAAAGAGAAAAUGAAACUAGGAAAACAAAAGUCUUCACACUUCAUGUUCCUUGAAUGAUUACCAAGCCUUCAAGGUCACACCAAUUUCUUCACUUUCAAAGUCUUCAGAAAGUCUACAGAAAUCCAAAGUCUUCAGUCGAAGAACUUCAUUUUUAGGGGUCGACUUUCUCUGUAAAUAUCAAACUCAUCAUAGACUUAUAGACAUGUGUACACUCACAAACGCAUUAGUCCCUUAACCUAUAAGUCUUCAAUACACCAAAAUCACUAAGGGGCACUAGAUGCACUUACAAUGUGAAACACAACAAAGUAUAAAAGUGAGUUGCAACCUAGCUCUCAGUACACAUAGAAGCUUUCCUUCAACAAGAGACAUCCAAAAACCAUCCCACUUCUACCCUACUCUAAAUUAACCAACUAACUAAUGAGACUAUGAACCUAUGAUAAUGGAAAGGCUGAAUGCAAAAUCUCUUAUAAGAUGUGUGGAUAUUACAUACGGGCAUUAAGAGCAUUUGCUCCCGUAUUAAUCCUCUAAGUAGCAGCCCUGCACCAGUACACAAAAACAGCAGCUAAGCUAUUUGUAUUAACGCUAUCAUCAUAACCAGGUCAUUAACAAAGCUAACUAUAUUUAACAUAAAGAUAAACAGAUCAAGAAACCAUCCAUCAGCAGCAAUUAGCAACCUCAUGUAACAUAACUACAGAUAUCCAGGCUUACUAGAUUGAUUUAGAACCAAAGCCUGAUAAAGUAAAAGGUCAACCUUGAUAACAUAAACAAAAAGACUUCAGAGAUUGAUUAUUUUGCACAACCCAAUGAAAGAAGUUGCUGAAUGAAAAAAAAGAAGCACAAAUCACUCAAUUUCCUCAGGAUUAUGUAGUGAGGUACAUGAUGUCAGUAUACAAUGGCAAGUUCUACUUCAAGUUAACUAAGGAAUCAGCUUGAACUACUUCAAAUAUGUUACAGGCAGAGAAAUGAGUGUGAGAAUCUAGGUCAUUAAAAAUUAGAAGCUUUAUUUCAUCAAGAAAAUCAGAGACACAGGGCCUUCCUCCACUUCCUCCACCUAUUCUCUCAGGCGCCUGCAGGAUGUGUGGAUGGUACCUGGGGAGCAGCACAAUUGCGAAGCACUAAGAGCAUUUGUUUACAUAUAAUCAAUCAUCCAAGUAGCAGUGCUGCACCGAUAUUCCUAAAGACCUCUGUUCAGCAAUUCACACACAUAGUUCAAACCAAAUAUCACUUUAAUCAGUAAUACCAAUAGACAGCAGGUCCUGUUUCAAAGGGUUACAGGUUUAUGACAUGUAUUUAAGAUACAAAUACAUAGUUACGCGACACUUUCAAAGUUGACAGACAUUACAUCAAGGGUCACACAGCUCAUUUCACAGAACAGAGCAGGCCACACACUGCACAUGAAUAGCCAGGCACAGAUACCUCAGUAACGGUACUUGGUGGAGUAAUCCUUGGGAGCAAUCACCAGACCACGGCCCUUACGAGCUCCUCUGUAGACGGUCUCCACAAUGUCAACAAACUCUUGCUUGUCUUUCAUUGCCCAGUUGAUCUUGUUGUUGUUUCCUGUCCCGAGAUCAAUCAUGAUGUGCUUGUUGCGGAAGAAGAACAUCACCGUCGACGGGUCGUACAGCUCGUACAUGGUGUUGAAGUCCGGAACCUCCGUGAUGUCGACGAGGUAGAUCACCGCAAAGUUCUUUAUGGUCUCAGCCACCCCUGACAGCACCUCGUCCAUCUAAACAUGAACAAGCAGAUAGUCAGAAACUCAUAAUGAAGUCAACAACAUACAACAACCAUGCUAGAUUGAUGUAGAACCAAAGGCUAAUAAAAAAAGUUAAACUACAAGUUUGCAAUCAAUAAUAUAAAACAAUUGCCCGUCAAUAAAAGAAAAGCACACAUCGCUUAACUUCCUGAGUAUAAUGGCUAGCUCUACUUCAACAGUUCAACUCAAUCAAGCAACCAGUAGUGAACUACUCCAAAUAUAUAUGUGAAACGCAGCAAAAUAUAGAGGUGAGUUCUAACCUAGCUCUCAGUACACAUAGAAGCUUUACUUCAACAACCAAAAAUCCUCCAACUUCUACCCUACUCCAAAUCGACCAACUAGCUUCUGACGGUAUGAGCUUAUGAUAAUGGAAAGGCCGAAUGCAAAAUCACUUGUAGGAUGUGUGGAUAGUACAUACGGAGAAUUAAAAGCAUUUGCUCCCAUAUUAAUCAGCUAUGUAGCAGCCCUGCACCAGUACACCAAAACAGCAGUUAAGCUAUUUGUAUUGACACCAUCAAUCAUAACCAGAUCAUUAACAAAGCUAAUAUAAAGACAAAUAGAUCAAGGAAGCACUCCAAAGUGCAAGAGAUCAUCCAUAAGCAGCAAUAGCAACCACAUACAACAUAACUACAGAUAUCCAGAUUUACUAGAUUGAUUUAGAACCAAAGCCUAACAAAAUUAGAAGGUCAAAACUGCAACCAACAACAUAAAUAAAGAAGACUUCAGAGAUGGAUUAGUUUGAACAACCAUCAAAGAAGUUGCUGAAUGAAAGAAAAGCACAAAUCACACGAUUUCCUCAGGGUUAUGUGGAGGUACAUGAUGUCAGUACACAAUGGCUAGUUCUACUUCCAACUUAACCAAAGAAGCAGCUUGAACUACUCCUAAUAUGUUACAGGCAGAAAAAUAUAGAUUGUGGGUAACUAUCUAUCUAGCUCAUUAAAAAUUAGAAGCUCUAUUUCAAGAAAAACAGAGGCGUGUGACUUGCUCCACUUGUGCUACAGAUCCAAACUAACCGCCUAUCCUCUCAGGCAAUGGAAAGGUGCCAGCAGGGUGCGUGGAUACUACCUGGGGAGCAGCACAAUUACCAAGUACUAAGAGCCAUUUGUUUACAUACUAUAUGAACCAUCCAAGCAGCAGUGCUGCCCUGAGAUUCCUAAAGACCAAGCUCAGAUAUUUGUAUUACAACACAUGUUGCAACUAGUCCUUACCAGAGCUUACUCCUGCUGUUAACAUGAGGAUGAACUGCUCACACAAGCUAAUUAGCGAAAUUGUCACACAAAUCAGCAUGAAGGAGAAUUCCUAAGAAAAAAAUCAUUAUUUCCUUCCGCCUCAUGACCCCUAAAACUAAAUCUAGCCUGGUCUAUGUGCGCCAUCUCUACGGCGAAUCCCCGCCCAAUUUCGGAUACGAAUCCGGUGUCCGGACACCCCAGACCGAACGGCCUCAAACAAUCAAACCAAGCAGUUGGAUCGAGAGAGAAUCAAGAAGUUAGGGUUUCGUUGGGGGGUGGGAACCGUACCUGCAUGCAUGUCUCGUCCCAGUCGUGGCCGAAGCGUAUCAUGACCAGCCGCUCCUCCUCGGCGAGGAUGGCCUGGUCCACCGCCCAGCCGGAGUGCAGGUGCGGGAGUAGGUAGGACAUCUCCGCCCCUCGCCGAGAGUCGAGUCGCCGCCGCCGGAGAGAAUAAUGUGGAGACGAACUGCCGAGGUGAAUCAGCGGCGUGCGCUGGUGCUGGUCGCCUGGGCCUGGUUAAAAUAGGGCGGCCUGGCGGAGGUGCCAACUAAUCCGAGUCGGCCUGCUACCCCGAGUCGGCCUUGAGGCGGUCCUAUUUCAAAGGAAAGUCACUGCUGGCCUGCUAGCCGAGUCGGCCUCGAGGCGGUCCUAUUUAGUUGGAUCGGGAGUUGCUCAAAACAAAAAAAAUUAGUUGGAUCGGGAGUUUUUUCCAUUUCCGAGAAAACUUCUAAUUACCGCUCAAAAAAAACGAGAGAACUUCUAAUUUCCUCAAAAAAAAGUUGCUAAAAAUCAUAUGAAUAUCCUUGAAUCAAAGGAGCAGUGAAGAAAUAUUUUGAGGGAGGGCUUCGAUGAGAUUCUUUUAGCAUUUUGCACUCCCAAACACUCAUAUUUUUGCCUUGCCCCACCCCCACCCCACCCCACCCACCAGCAGUUUCUACCUAGCUCCGCCAGUGCAAAGGAGCCCUUAGACAUGAUGGUUGAGAAGUGCAGCUUGUAUGCCCCUCAGUGCAUCUCGGGACAAUUGCACACUUAGAAGUUGCAGCACAACACAAUACCGUUCGAUCCGUCUGGUGCAAAUCACACGCUUGGACAUACUGAUAAUUGUAACGCCCCGGAUGCAGCGACACUCGGAGAAGCGCCGAGACCAUGCCAAGGCUAAGCAUGCAGCAACAAAUAAUAAGAAAAGGAGAGCAAACUCAAGGUGCUAAUUGAUGAAACUUAAGAAAGUGUGUUACCUGAUGAAACUGAAGAAUGUGUUUUACCUGAUGAAACUGGAGAAAGUGCAGGCAACACUUGUGCGGGAAAAGGUCACUGAAUCCAAAGAGAAAGAACAAGAUGGCGGGCCCCGCAAGUCAGGGAGACCACCAUUCCAUCCAAGUGAUACGCCGGCGAGGAAUGGAUCGCAUACAGACAGUGGGCCAAUGUUGUAAGUGUGUGCAAGUUGUAACAUACUCCCUCCGUUUCAAAUUACUCGUCGCUGAAAUGGAUGUAUCUAGAACUAAAAUACAUCUAGAUACAUCUAUAUGUGCGACGAGUAAUUCGGAACGGAGGGAGUAGAUGUCUUCGAUCCAUCUAUUAUCGGCAUCCGGUUGGAUCACGAAACUGAACCGAAGGACCCUGACGAGGGAGGCUCCUCCUCCUCUCUCUCUUGAAUCCCUCCUCCGAGUUGUUCCUGUUCGGAAUUGUUCCUAGUGAUCGAGAGAAUUGUUCCCUGUAAUUGAGAGAACUGCUUCUGGGAUCUAAACAACAAUAAUCUGGAAGCGGCGAUGGAGGACAAGCAUGUGUACACCAGAACCAGAUGGAAUUUUUAGUUUUAAAAAAAGGACCAGAUGGAAUUUUUAGUCUCCAGGUUUUGUUAGCCUGCUUGCCAUUAGCACCUUGAGGUGCUACAUCAUUUUGUCCCGUUUUACUUGAGUGUUUGAUCAUUCGCCCUCGCUUAUGUCAAUGAAAGGUAGCCUCGAGCCCCACCGGUCACUCUCACGGGGAGGACAGAUUAUCAGGGGGAAAUAAAACGGGCAAAUGAUCAAAUUUUCCCGCAAAUAAACUGCAUCUUCUGAAUGUUGGGUGAUUUUAAUAUUGAUGCUUCUCGUCUCAUAGUCUUAAGCUCUUAGUUUUGUACUUCUAUUCAGGCCUUGACCUUUGCUUCACUUUCAUGGCACUUCUGAUCUCACGGUUUCCUCAAGUCAUGGUUGAGUGCAUACGUCCGGUACUCCGGUCCUCUUUGAACCUACACGAGUUUGUUCUCAGAAGGCCUCACAUGCCUUAAACAUGUACAACAUCCGUUUACAAAUAAGAUUGACAAGAAAAAACCAAAUACUUUUGUAGCUCAUCAUUUAUUGGCAAAUAUAGAGAAGUUAAUUUACCAGCUACUUGUUUCAUGGCUUUAAUUUGAGCUCCCGUGCAAAAUUGCACGCAACACCUCGGAUAAAAAGCACGGCCGAGUCACAUGCAGGGAAACUUGCAUGUGUGGUUCUUGACACUGUAAUGAGAGAAUUAUAGAAGUUAUCAAAAACCAGGGAAGAAAAGCUAAUCCUCUAGAAAGUACGGUAGUAGCAUCUAAAUGUGCAAAUGUUGUGGCGGAGCAGGGUCGAUCAAAUCAAGAGAAGGGGUGUGAUGAUUGAGGUUUUGAAUAAGACAACCUUUGCAUUUUGGAUUUGGAUCUUUUUCGCAUUUCAAAAUAAUGAAGAAGUCAAAUAAGAGGUGUUAAGUUUUUUAUCAUUUUGGCAUCGAGCUAUUUUGCCGCUCAGGGUUUUAUUUGAAAUAAAAAUCGAAAUGCCUCAACUUGAUAAAUUGACAGGCUUUGACAGGGUUCUGGGUAGUGACCCAAACCGAUACCAAUAGGGAUGAGGGAAGGCUUACUUAUUGAUUUCACAAUUUCCCUAAAAAUAAUAAAUUCACAAUUGAUUAUAUUCCCCAAUUCAUAACUAGGAAAGUAAGAGGUUAGAAAUCUUGGUAUCCAAAGGUCCCUAAAGGACAUUCAUUUUUUGCUCAUGUUGGAUAUUACAUCAUGGACUACCUACAGACUGAAAUGAGGAACAAACACAGUAAAACGUGUGUAUAUGCAUCCAAUUCAGAAAAAAAAAAGUUGCACUAGAACAUAUUACAUUUGCACCCGCAAAAAAAAAGAACAUAUUAUAUUUGUGAAUAGAGUGAGUACUCAGUUUGCAAUGAGCUGGCACACACCAGUAAUGGCAACUCUAAAGGAACUCCAACAGACAUGCCAAAACACGCUGUGCUUCAGAAACAAUCAGGACACCGCUAUAUAUAGCACUAUAAAUCAUAGACAAAGCAGCAGAUACAACAACUGACGGAUUUCCUUACAGGCACACAACUAUCUGCCUAAGCAAGUGAUACAAACAAAAAUAUUCGGCAGGCGCCAGAGUGCCUAGAGAAAUUGAAUAUCAGGUGUAAGCAAUCAGAAAACUGACAAGCGUCAAACUUUGAAGGAUCAACAUUGCCCUACGUUCUGGAGGCCUCAGUACUAACUCUUCCUGUGUAAAACUCUGGCACGGAAUAGAAUGGACUGGCGAGAAUCAGACUAGGAUGCAGCAGAUAUAAGCUGGGCCUUUUUCUGUCUGACAAAAUUUUGGACAAAUAUCUCCCCUGCGCGGUAAGAGGACCGGACCUGAAAAAGUCCAAGAAUACAAAAGUGAGUUCCUGUAGUUUGCUAACAGCAGCAACCACAAAACUGCAUAACCACCAAUAACUAACAAGACAAGUGCUAGCUUUUUCUUUUGUGUGGUUUCACAAGCUGGAUAGCAAAGAGGCAUGUUUUAUCGAGGAUGCAAAACAACAACAGUUUCCCUGUCUGGGUGAGUGGGCAUUGGUAAAAGUUUUGUCUUCUUUGUAUAAACACUGGCAUUCCUUGUCUCGACUAUUAUUAUCUAAAAGCAUAACCAGCUAUAUGUAAUGCUUACCAGAGGUCCACUAGCAACAUACACAAAUCCCAAAGAUUCUCCAUACUCCUUCCAGAAAUCAAACUUCUCAGGAGUCACAUAUUCUCUGACUCUCAAAUGUCUUUCUGUUGGCUGUAUAAUCAAGGAGAUAUGGUUGUUACAGCAUUUACAAAGGCAGCUGGGUAAUAUAAACUGAAAGGUGCACUGUAAGUCGAUAAAUAUUCUCCUCAAAUAACAGGGCUAAACAUCAAACCUGUAAGUAUUGUCCCAAGGUCAGAAUGUCAACGUCGAUGGCCCUCAAGUCAGCCAUGGUUUGUUUUAUCUCCUCGUCUGUCUCACCCAGACCAAGCAUGAUCGAGGACUUCGUUACCAUACCCUUUUUGCAAGCCUUUGCUUGCUUCAGAACCCCUAAGCUCUGAUCAUAUCUGUAGAGAUAACAGAUUGGAAAUAAGGUAGCAGUUGCAUCGCCAGAUGCAAAUAUGACAUCAGUGAUUUCCCUUCUGUAACUGCUUCUAAAAUUAUCAGUGAAGAUGCAGGUUUUGAAAUUACAAAUGUCAUGUUACCAAAUCAUUAGAGUACUGUAAAUGAGUGUGACGAACUCAGAGGAGGGCAUUGAUGAUAUAGCGCUUUAGAGGACUCUCCUAGUUAGUAUGCACAAUGGUGGGAGCACAAUAGACUGAGCAACAUACAAAAGAAGUCAGGGAAUCUUAUUACCCUGCUCGGGGAUCUCUAACUAUUCUCUGCAUACUCCUCACAGUUUCGAUGUUGUGCGCAUACACAUCUAGGCCAGAGUUUGCCAGAGACGCAACUGCCUCCAGGUCGCCUCGAAAAUCUGAAGUUAGACACUCCACCAGUAUCGUAGGCUUCAACUCCUGAACAGAAGACCCAAAACUAUCACAUGGUAGAUUCACUAACUUAAUCAGCAAGCUAAGGCGACAGGGACAAACCUUGAGAGCCCUGACUGUUUCGGCGAAAUGGCCACUUCCACCAUCAGGGAUGUCAUCUCUGUCGACACUUGUCAGCACAACAUAGUCCACUCUGCAAAGAAACACCGUUUAUCAGAUAUAUUCAUCACACCAUCUUAAGUUCUUAGCAUGCCGAUGAUUGUCAGUGAUCGUACCCCCAACUCGCAAUUGCGAUGGACGUUUUCAGAGGCUCGAGGGCGUCGGGCGGUGGGGGCUUGUUACUGGUCUUGACGGCGCAGAACCGACAGCCCCGGGUGCAGGUGUCGCCGAGGAGCAUGAUGGUGGCGGUGGCGAUGCCGUCCCCUUCCCCGCCGGCGCCGCCGCCUCCGUUCCAGCACUGCAGCAGCAGCAGGCAAAUCAUCAUCAAAUCGCUGAAGACACUCACCCGGGCCACGAACACAGCGGCUCCGUGGCAAGAGGAUCGAUGGGCUCUACCUACCUCCCCGAUGUUGGGGCACUGGGCCUCGACGCAGACGGUGUUGAGCUUGAGCUCGCCGAGCGACUCCCUGAGCCGGGCGUACUUGUCCCCCUGCGCCGCCCGCUGCCGCAGCCACGCCGGCUUCCUCGCGUCCGGGUCCCUCCCCGUGAACGGCGUCGGCGGGGCCCAUCCAGAUGCCAACGACGACGACGCGGGCUCGCCGUGGCACCUCACCGCCGGCGCCGGCCGGGGCCGGGCGAGGAGCCUCGCGCCCGCGGAGCCCCGCGCCGAGGGGGGCGGAAGCGGGGGCGGAGGCCGGGCGAGCGAGCUCUGCAUUGUGGCGCGCGGAGGGAUCGAGGCGGGUUGAAUUGAACCCUAGGGCGCCAUCGCUGCCGCUGUGUAGCGCGGCGCGGGGGCGAUGGUUCCGAAGCGGGGGGCGAGAGAGCUUCUGGCAGUUACGGAUUUGCCCCUGAGAUCUGGUGGACUGCACGGGGCGAUGGGGAGGGUAGGAUGGGUAUUUCGCGGGAAGACGGCGGUCGCACCAAAGCCAGCCUCGCCGUGUUUUUAACUGAUGAACACAGGCUGAGACGCUGAGUACUGGUUGGUAAGCAGUUUUUGACCUUGAGUGGUGGUUGGUGCGAUGGUGCCAACGCCUUGCCGCGUUGGACGAACGGCGCGGCGGGUAGGGAGAAGGCGACGGCGGCUCUGCGCCGAGCUCCCAGGGAGCUCGCCGGCCGGACUGGAGGAAGACGGUUUCAGUGACGGUGAGAAAAUCCGACUGCAGUUCCUGUGAGUAGUAGUCUGCUGUUGCUGUCAAAGUUCAUGCGAUCUUCAGUCAUUUGCUCUGCUUGCACAUGAUAACAGCGUGCCAAAUUCACCUGUAUGUACAAAUUUCCAGGAACAAAAGCCCGAUUUUGUAGAGCGAAGUGAAUGAGCAUAACGCUAAAUGAAAAAAUGAUGCAACAACACGAAAUGAGAGAAGACGCAAAUCAUAACCAAGCUUACAAAUAAGAGACCUCACACACAUCUCAUAUCUCACCAAUGCAUAUGGAUAGACCAAACUGAGCUUCAACACUGCCACCACUCACACAAAGAUCCCCCACACGUCCACCACCAAGAAGCAACCACAAGAUAGUUUAUAGAAACUCUACUUGCACAGCCAUUGCCACCCCCCACCACCUUGUUUUUCACCGGGAGAAAAUAAGGGUUAAAACUAGGUUCCAUCUGGUCCAUCACUGCACAGUUACAACACAGGGUACAUACAUGGACAAUCUGUCAUGGAUAUAGCCAUCAGGCGGGUAUUAUACACCCACAUGAAGGAGAAUGCUGGUUCUAUUAAAUUAACCUCCACCCUAGUCACAGCCUCAGGAACGCUAACUUCGACACGGAGCCAACGGAACUUCUCCAAGCUCACACAUCUUGCGAAACAGGAAGCAUGUCUAUCCCAAUUCUGCAAUCACCAUCUGAAAGACAAGCAGCACAUAUAGUUUUAA
RNAcentral lists this long non-coding RNA (24431 nucleotides) under Triticum aestivum (bread wheat). RNAcentral describes it as "long non-coding RNA (TAES_LNC008848)". The stretch from base 19105 to 19219 matches the Rfam family "MIR1120/MIR1122 microRNA precursor family". The record is from RNAcentral. Lineage: Eukaryota; Viridiplantae; Streptophyta; Magnoliopsida; Poales; Poaceae.